Long non-coding RNA from Grus americana (Whooping crane), 891 nucleotides. RefSeq lists it as uncharacterized. The transcript is spliced from 4 exons. Lineage: Eukaryota; Metazoa; Chordata; Aves; Gruiformes; Gruidae. The record is from RefSeq and is a predicted model, not a curated record.
GCCAGCACUGGUGGAUAAAUGUUAAGCCCUUGAAACUUUGAUAUCCAUCAGCAUUUCAGCAGAGACACAGAGAGGAAGAAAGCUUCAGUGUGACCCAGCACCCCAUUUUUUCCCCAGUGCCAUCAGAAGAUGCCCUAAUUUUCCUCAAAAGAAACCAAGUCGUUGGGUUUUUACGACUGGAGAAAAAAAAAAAAAAAAGGUGCUGGCAGGAGGGGAGCCUUACAGCUGUAUUUGCAGGAGAAGAAAGCUGGAAGAACAUCACUUUUGCUGGUUUAUUACCCAUUUUGAGCUGUGAAAGCUGGCACAGUAAGGACGUCUAGAGAGAACAGCUUAGCCCAUCGCCAGUCCUGUUGCUGGACCUUCUGCAAGACCUCAGUGUAACUGGAAUCAUGACAUCUCACUUCACCCAUAAAAGCCCGUGCAUCUAAUCUAAGUUGGUGGCUCGACUCUUUGGAACAAAUCUAGGCACUUGCAAAGUGAUUCAUCCUCCCUGUUGCAGACACCCACAUCCAGCAAUACAGCUACCAGUACUGGAGGAGUCCUGCUACUUGCAGUAAGAAGUCCUACCACAAGCAUCACAAGCACUUGUUUGCUGGGUAUAUCCAGUGUCUCAUCUCAGCAGCCUUGUCCAGAGUAUGUCAAUGCAAUGACAGACUCAAGAAGUAUCUCAAGCAGACUUGAUGUUCCAGAGACAGGACCUUCUCUGUAUUCUAUCAAUCAUUGGUUUAACCAAAGGUAGUCUUCUAAUAUGAAGAAACAGCAGUUUACUCACUUCUCACUCUUUAGCCUGACACAAAACCAGAUGAGCUGAUCUAUUAAAAAAACAUGUUUAUUUGCCACCACACAAAUGGGAACCCAUUUCUCAGAACUGAUAUGAUACAUGUUUUAAAA